AUAUACAAUUAUGAGAGGACUGAUGGAUGAACAAUGAUGAACUAAACUAUAUUUUAAGUUGAAAUCAAUUACUUCAAACUACAAAAUAUAGGAUUAGUCUGUCCAUUUUUAUCAAUCAGUUUAUACUUUUUUCGUCAUUUUCCUAUGGCAAAAAAGUCCUUAAUCAAUACCUGUAACCGACUAAUCCUUCCAAUGACAAUUGGGGGGAUUUUUUU
This is a non-coding RNA of Bacillus sp. B14905, 215 nucleotides long. Lineage: Bacteria; Bacillati; Bacillota; Bacilli; Caryophanales; Bacillaceae. The record is from Rfam.